RNAcentral lists this transfer RNA (69 nucleotides) under Oostethus manadensis (sort-tailed pipefish). RNAcentral describes it as "tRNA-Trp". It matches the Rfam family "tRNA". From Rfam's summary of the family: Transfer RNA (tRNA) molecules are approximately 80 nucleotides in length. Lineage: Eukaryota; Metazoa; Chordata; Actinopteri; Syngnathiformes; Syngnathidae. The record is from RNAcentral. RNAcentral also lists the same sequence under 1 other name.
AGAGGUUUAGGAUAACCAAACCAAGAGCCUUCAAAGCCCUAAAUAGAAGUGAAACCCUUCUAACCUCUG